This 1167-nucleotide long non-coding RNA is filed under the name Sus scrofa (pig). RNAcentral's name for it is "lncRNA (ENSSSCG00035029869.1)". The record is from RNAcentral. Lineage: Eukaryota; Metazoa; Chordata; Mammalia; Artiodactyla; Suidae.
AGAUUCGCAGGCCGCGGUUUCCCCCCCCCCCGCCCCGGGAAAGGAGUGUGCACGCGCUUCGGGUGCGUGAAGGUGGAGGGUGAGAAGGCUAGCACUCCUUGCGCUGGCCUCCGUCACGUUUCUAUCGGCUGUGGGGAAUUGGGAAGAAGAGCUUUGAGCCACUCGCUCUGCCAGGUUCUCCCAACAGGACAAUAAACUCAUCUGGAAGGCAGAGGGCCUGCCCAUUCAUAAACCUGUUGAUGUGGUCCCCAGAGUACCAGUUUAAGAUGAUAAGACCAACACUGUUGAUUCUGGGGCCAGAACUGGGACAAGUCCUUGAUCCGUCUACACUAGCUGUAUACACCAUCUACCUCCUGAGAGGAUUCAUUUUUCUUCCUAUUGCAACUCACUCUCGCAGAUGGAGCAGUCAUUUUGAGAGCAUGAAGAUGAAGAUACGUGAAAAAGCCAGAAGGACUCUGGUCUCUCAAGGUACCAUGAGACCACACCUACUACCCCAGUUUACCUACCUCCAGACAUCUCCAGAAGUCUUGCUCUGAGAAAAAUAAAAGCCCAUUUGGUUGACCAAUAUGGGGGGAGGUACCUUUAUGACCAAGGUUUUGGAUUCAGUAGGCUUGGGGUAGGGCCCAGGAACCUGUAUCUUUAACAUGAUCUCCAAGUGAUUCUCAGGCCAUAAGCAAAGAUCAUCCUGGAGAAACUUUGCUUUGGCCCCAGAAAAUAGGAAAUUUAGUGACAGCUGGGGAGGAAGGGAGAGAAGCAUCACAAACCUGAGUAGAGCAAGUCAUGUUAUAAAUUGCCAUCAGCACAUAAAAGCUUCCAAAUGAUUGUUCAGACUGUAUGUUUUGAUCCACCAAUACCGUCCCUAUAUUUUCUAACUUACGAGACAUCACAGAGAAAAAAGAAAUGACAGAAAAACUAGAAAUCACUUUUAGCAGAUUUGUCACCUUAAUCCUCAUUUAGCUUGAUUGUGAAAUCCUGUUGAGGAGCUUAAAGGAGAGCAUUUUCUUCCUGAGAAUCGUUGCCCUGUAUAAUACUGACUUGGUUGGCCCAAGAAAUAUAAUACAUAUUCGAUUUGCCUAAGUGCAGCUCAGCAGUUUCCUUUCCAAGCGGCAACACUAAAUAUAAUAAAUGGAUGCCACCUCUGUCUAAAUAAAUAAAUGAUUUUAAUUG